GCAAACUGUCCUACGGUGUUUUCUGUUCCUGGGGUUUAUGCAGAUUGCUGCAGCAGAGAAAACUUUUCUGUGGCAUAAACAAAUCUCACUGAAAGUACCAGUGGGACAGAAGGAGAGUGAGCCCCCUUUGGACUUCCAAGACCUGCUUUGGCAAGAGCUGCUUAACAGCCAAAAGCAAGAAAUUCUCCAACACCUGAGGGACAGGACCCUCCCUGCUUCCCACCAUAAGUACUCCCUUUAUGCAGCUUGAUAGGCCUUAAGGAGCCUCGAAGGUCUUUUGAAAGAGAGUGAGAGGACAAGCAUCUGGACUGCCCUUUCUCAGCCAGCCUGACUCACCUCUUUACUUUGGAAUUACAAAAUCAAGGGUCCUGAUACAGGGAGGAUGAUUACAUGGCUGUGAUACUGAACAAAAGCUGUUGAAAUCCACCCCAGAGCACUAGUAGCAGCAUUUGAAGAGGCUGAGCUGCAGUGACGGUAGCUUUGUGCCAGAUGAGCCUUCUGGGAAGCUGGGACCAGCCUGAGGGACAAAUCCAACCUUGAAAAACAACCAGAAGAAUGGCAUGCAGAUCAGAGGAACGCUGUAGAGUUCAGUCGAAAGCGAUCCCUUAGAGACUUAUGGAAGCCUUUUAGAUCACCCUUGACUUCCUUCAAAUUCAUCACAGGUACUCUCUGGGUAAAAGAAAAUAAAAAUAGAGCUUGAGACAUGCCUUGGAAAGGAUGAGCACCUGAGGAGCAUUGCUAUUUUCUGCAGCCUCUCCUGCUCUGUGACUCUGUUGCCUACCAGAAGUUUAUUACUGCUGUUGUAGCUUGUGAAAAGUGACACUGCGGAUCUCUGAGGCUUAAAAAGCUGGCCUGCAAUGACACUUACACAUCUUAAGUGUGGCAUGGAUGCAUCCAAUUUCCCAUUAGGCAGCCCUUGUGGGACUGAAAGUGUCUUCUCAAGAGCAAGAGGCAGAGCAGUUAUUUCAGCAUUCCAU
This is a long non-coding RNA of Pogoniulus pusillus (Red-fronted tinkerbird), 977 nucleotides long. RefSeq lists it as uncharacterized. The transcript is spliced from 4 exons. NCBI's taxonomy places the organism in Eukaryota, Metazoa, Chordata, Aves, Piciformes, Lybiidae. The record is from RefSeq and is a predicted model, not a curated record.